UGUGUAGGCGGUUAUGUAAGAUAGCGGUGAAAUCCCGGGGCUUAACCUCGGAAUAGCCGUUAUAACUAUGUAGCUAGAGUUAUGGAGAGGAUAGCGGAAUACCCAGUGUAGAGGUGAAAUUCGUAGAUAUUGGGUAGAACACCGGUGGCGAAGGCGGCUAUCUGGCCAUAUACUGACGCUGAGGCACGAAAGCAUGGGGGAUCAAACA
This 208-nucleotide ribosomal RNA is filed under the name uncultured bacterium. RNAcentral describes it as "partial 16S ribosomal RNA". It matches the Rfam family "Bacterial small subunit ribosomal RNA", at positions 568 to 774 of the family's 1533-position model. The record is from RNAcentral.